GACGAACGCUGGCGGCGUGCUUAACACAUGCAAGUCGAACGGAAAGGCCCUGCUUUUGUGGGGUGCUCGAGUGGCGAACGGGUGAGUAACACGUGAGUAACCUGCCCUUGACUUUGGGAUAACUUCAGGAAACUGGGGCUAAUCCCGGAUAGGAGCUCCUGCUGCAUGGAGGGGGUUGGAAAGUUUCGGCGGUUGGGGAUGGACUCGCGGCUUAUCAGCUUGUUGGUGGGGUAGUGGCUUACCAAGGCUUUGACGGGUCGCCGGCCUGAGAGGGUGACCGGCCACAUUGGGACUGAGAGACGGCCCAGACUCCUACGGGAGGCAGCAGUGGGGAAUAUUGCACAAUGGGCGGAAGUCUGAUGCAGCAACGCCGCGUGCGGGAUGACGGCCUUCGGGUUGUAAACCGCUUUCGCCUGUGACGAAGCGUGAGUGACGGUAAUGGGUAAAGAAGCACCGGCUAACUACGUG
Molecule: ribosomal RNA, 468 nt
Filed under: uncultured bacterium
Lineage: Bacteria
Description: partial 16S ribosomal RNA
Rfam family: Bacterial small subunit ribosomal RNA
Source: RNAcentral